This is a small nucleolar RNA of Suncus etruscus (white-toothed pygmy shrew), 211 nucleotides long. RefSeq annotates it as small nucleolar RNA U3. The record is from RefSeq and is a predicted model, not a curated record. Lineage: Eukaryota; Metazoa; Chordata; Mammalia; Eulipotyphla; Soricidae. The transcript has a single exon.
GAGAGAGACUCAGGGAUCAUUUCUAUAGUAUGUGACUAGAGAAGUUUCUCUCAUCGUGUAGAGCAUCUGAAGCCACGAGGAGGAGCCAGAGUGUCCUCUCCUGAGCGUGAAGCCAGCUCUAGGUGUCGCUUCUGCGGCUGCCUCUUGCGAUUGAUGAUCGUUCUUCCCUUACUUUGGAAGGGGUAGAGAGGGAGAAUGCAGUCUGAGUGAU